GAUGAACGCUGGCGGCGUGCCUAAUACAUGCAAGUCGAGCGAACGGACGAGAAGCUUGCUUCUCUGAUGUUAGCGGCGGACGGGUGAGUAACACGUGGAUAACCUACCUAUAAGACUGGGAUAACUUCGGGAAACCGGAGCUAAUACCGGAUAAUAUUUUGAACCGCAUGGUUCGAAAGUGAAAGGCGGUCUUGCUGUCACUUAUAGAUGGAUCCGCGCUGCAUUAGCUAGUUGGUAAGGUAACGGCUUACCAAGGCAACGAUGCAUAGCCGACCUGAGAGGGUGAUCGGCCACACUGGAACUGAGACACGGUCCAGACUCCUACGGGAGGCAGCAGUAGGGAAUCUUCCGCAAUGGGCGAAAGCCUGACGGAGCAACGCCGCGUGAGUGAUGAAGGUCUUCGGAUCGUAAAACUCUGUUAUUAGGGAAGAACAUAUGUGUAAGUAACUGUGCACAUCUUGACGGUACCUAAUCAGAAAGCCACGGCUAACUACGUG
RNAcentral lists this ribosomal RNA (497 nucleotides) under uncultured bacterium. Its description in RNAcentral is "partial 16S ribosomal RNA". It matches the Rfam family "Bacterial small subunit ribosomal RNA", at positions 28 to 507 of the family's 1533-position model. The record is from RNAcentral.